ACGCUCGACACCUACGGAGGCAGCAGUGGGGAAUAUUGCACAAUGGGGGAAACCCUGAUGCAGCGACGCCGCGUGAGCGAAGAAGUAUUUCGGUAUGUAAAGCUCUAUCAGCAGGGAAGAAAAUGACGGUACCUGACUAAGAAGCCCCGGCUAACUACGUGCAAGCAGCCGCGGUAAUCUGAGCGGGCUGGCAAGGC
RNAcentral lists this ribosomal RNA (197 nucleotides) under uncultured bacterium. RNAcentral describes it as "partial 16S ribosomal RNA". It matches the Rfam family "Bacterial small subunit ribosomal RNA", at positions 328 to 539 of the family's 1533-position model. The record is from RNAcentral.